Molecule: ribosomal RNA, 355 nt
Filed under: uncultured bacterium
Lineage: Bacteria
Description: bacterial SSU rRNA
Rfam family: Bacterial small subunit ribosomal RNA
Source: RNAcentral
AGUCGAGCGGAUGAAGGAGCUUGCUCCUGGAUUCAGCGGCGGAGGGAGAGUAAUGCCUAGGAAUCUGCCUGGUAGUGGGGGACAACGUUUCGAAAGGAACGCUAAUACCGCAUACGUCCUACGGGAGAAAGCAGGGGACCUUCGGGCCUUGCGCUAUCAGAUGAGCCUAGGUCGGAUUAGCUAGUUGGUGAGGUAAUGGCUCACCAAGGCGACGAUCCGUAACUGGUCUGAGAGGAUGAUCAGUCACACUGGAACUGAGACACGGUCCAGACUCCUACGGGAGGCAGCAGUGGGGAAUAUUGGACAAUGGGCGAAAGCCUGAUCCAGCCAUGCCGCGUGUGUGAAGAAGGUCUUC